AUAAAUGUGUAUGCAUCAUUACUUCUGGUGAUUAAUUAAUUUGGACAUUUGCCAACUUUGUGUGUGUCUAUGAUUACGUGUUUGCUGUCUUAAUAUUUAGAUAGGAAGAAUAUCAUCUAUUAUUAUAGUCCCCACUAGAAGUGUGCGUGUGUGUGACUAGUCUGGGCCCGCCUCUGUGUGUGACAUACUUUGAUGGAUUAAUGAUGUGACCGUACUUGCUUCUCUUUGGAUAAUAAACAGGAUAUACAAGACAGGAUCCUGCUGAAGACACUGAUAAUGAGUUGCCAUUGCUGCAAGUUAGGCCCAGGACUCUAUCAAGAACGACCUACAAGAGACUGGUCUCUUGGACAUUGCUAAACGGGAGGAGAGGAUAGGGAAAGAAUGGAGAAAGAGAGGAAAAGUGCAGAGUGUCUGAACUCUGAAAUUCUAACCUUUGAA
Amphimedon queenslandica is the source of this 438-nucleotide long non-coding RNA. RefSeq lists it as uncharacterized. NCBI's taxonomy places the organism in Eukaryota, Metazoa, Porifera, Demospongiae, Haplosclerida, Niphatidae. The record is from RefSeq and is a predicted model, not a curated record. The transcript is spliced from 3 exons.